GGAUGCUUCUUUCAACCGUUCCAUUGAGAAAACCCAAAAUCCUCCAUUGCAUCGCACCUGUUUACGCCGAUUCAGAAAUCGCAUCCAUUGCAUCUUAUAUACAUACAGCUAGAUGGCGAGAAGGUCGAUGAUCAUAACCGGUAUUGUGCCGGUAGUGGGAAUGCUAUUUGUCAGGUCUGGGCUUGCUGCCAGGCUUGCCUGAGUUAAGUAAAGCCGGAUGGCGAGAAGGUCGAUGAUCAUAGACGGUGUUGUGCUGGUACUAAAUACCCACUUCUUUAUACCAGGUUGAAGGAAUUGUGAAGAAUUUGACAAUGACUGGAGAUCAUGAUAAGAUUACUGCUGUGAUUAAUUUAUUGACUCACGAAUAUACUUACUCGCCUCAAGCGAAUCUGCGCAAGGGAUGGUUGACUGGCUUAGAUGCAACUACUGUUGGUUUGAGUUCUGAAGCUCACAACAUCUCAAGGGGAACUGGUCGGGUAUUUUCUGAAGAAUAGUGCAAAUCAGCUCAAUACAUAUGGGUAUGUUUUGCUUAUUAGGUUAUUUGACACUUUGCGUAUCAUUUGAUUAAUACUUUCAGUUUUUGAACUCGGGUUGUUCAUGAGUUGAGCUCGAUUCAGGUAAAGGUGAGCUUAAGCUUGGUUCUGGGGGUUGGGUAACGAGUUGACAUAUGUUUGUGUCAAACUCAAUACGGGGCUAGCUUGGUCGAUCGACAUAGCUACAAAUAAAUAUCGGAUUAUAAAUAAUCCAAGUGGUUAAAUAACACGAUUUGUGAGUUGUGUUUAGGUUAUAAUAUGUUUUGAAUGGUUUUUCUGUUAGGGACUUAGUUUGGGCCUCUUUAUGGGUGUCAACACAUGCAUUUGAAAGUUGAAAGCAAUGACCAAUUAAGUGUAUGUUUGACUCGUUUUCUCUAAGUACACACCGGCUAUAGAUAUGUGGAGUAUUGGUUGUAUUUUUGCGGAACUUUUAACCGGAAAGCCACUUUUUUCGGGGGAAAAUGUGGUGUAUUAGUUGGACCUCAUGACCGAUCUUUUGGGGACCCCAUUACCUGAAGCGAUAGCCAGGAUAAGAAAUGAGAACAACCGGAGAUACUUAAGCAGCAUGAGGAAGAAAAAACCGAUCCCUUUUUCACAGAAGUUUCCGAAUGCAGUUCCUCUUGCUCUUCGUUUACUAGAAAGAAUGCUUGCGUUUGAGCCUAAAGAUCGUCCUACUGCUGAGGAGGUCCGGUGGAUAAUUCAAAUAAGCUCCCAAAGUGGAAUUAUGAUGGGUCUAGCACAGGGCAAGUCUCUGGGAAAGCAAUGAAGUUGUUUUAUGGGCAUUACAGUUAUCGAGUGUAAAAGAGAAGGGUAUGUAUUUUCAGACAAUUAUUCAAAGUGACUUCAAACGGUUGGCACUGAUCCUGAAGCAAUGCUUUUCAACUUUGUACCAAUUACUUAUCUUCUUAGUGGGGUCCAUGGAAGUGGUUGUGACGUUGUAAGUUUUUCAAACAUAAUAAUUUUUGUAGCUCGACUUUAUGGUGACAGGACCUUUUUUUCUCUCAAUCGUGCACACAAGCCUGGUGUAGAAGACUUGCAAUAUUUCUUGGAGUUUCAAGUUCCUUUACAGUGGGCCAUAUGAUUUUGUGACUCGACUCUUAGGCAUCAAAGAAAGAAAACCUCAUGCUCUCGGCUUCAGUUUAUUUUUUUGGGUCCCAAGAUGUACGUCAGCACGACCCAGGUAUGUUCUAUGCAAGUGGCUUAAUUGUUUUCUAUGACAAAAAUAAAUUGAUGCAGUUGAUCUUCUUGACCUCAUGUUGGGUCAUUUGGAAAGCACGAAAUGACACAAUAUUUGCCGGGAGAAGAGCCAACGUAGACAUGAUGUUUGGAGAGCUUCAAACCUUGAGCUUCUUAUGGAUCAAGCAUUGUUCUAGGGACUGCGGUUUGACAUGGAAAAAGUGGGUGUCUUUUAGUUUUUUCCUAAUAUGUAAAACAGUAUGUAUUUUGGUUUUUGCUUGGGGUGAGCCUUUGCUCUGUACAAGUAACUUGCUGGUACUUUGCAAAUUGUGUAUUCCUA
Helianthus annuus (common sunflower) is the source of this 2049-nucleotide long non-coding RNA. RefSeq lists it as uncharacterized. The record is from RefSeq and is a predicted model, not a curated record. NCBI's taxonomy places the organism in Eukaryota, Viridiplantae, Streptophyta, Magnoliopsida, Asterales, Asteraceae. The transcript has 10 exons.